This 560-nucleotide small RNA is filed under the name Pongo abelii (Sumatran orangutan). RNAcentral describes it as "retained intron". The record is from RNAcentral. Lineage: Eukaryota; Metazoa; Chordata; Mammalia; Primates; Hominidae.
UUUUUCUGUUUGGGUCACCUGAGUUCCAGAGUAUGACGGGGAUUCAGAUUGAGAGGGUAGGACAAACGUGGCCUCCCCCUUGUAGCUGAGACCGUGGAGGGGGACAACAUGGAGGAGGACAAUGUAGAGAGCGAGGAGGAAGGACCCUGGGAGCCCCCUGCGCUCCCAAUCCUGACAUGGCCAGUGCUACAGUCUCGCACAGGGCUGGUCUAUGACCAAAGUAUGAUGAAUCACUGCAACUUGUGGGACAGCCACCACCCUGAGGUACCCCAGCGCAUCUUGCGGAUCAUGUGCCGUCUGGAGGAGCUGGGCCUUGCCGGGCGCUGCCUCACCCUGACACCGCGCCCUGCCACAGAGGCUGAGCUGCUCACCUGCCACAGUGCUGAGUACGUGGGUCAUCUCCGGGCCACAGAGAAAAUGAAAACCCGGGAGCUGCACCGUGAGAGUUCCAACUUUGACUCCAUCUAUAUCUGCCCCAGUACCUUCGCCUGUGCACAGCUUGCCACUGGCGCAGCCUGCCGCCUGGUAGAGGCUGUGCUCUCAGGAGAGGUUCUGAAUGG